CCUACGGGGUGCAGCAGUGGGGAAUAUUGGACAAUGGGCGAAAGCCUGAUCCAGCCAUGCCGCGUGUGUGAAGAAGGCCUUCGGGUUGUAAAGCACUUUCAGUGGGGAAGAAAGCCUUGGGGCUAAUACCCUCGAGGAAGGACAUCACCCACAGAAGAAGCACCGGCUAACUCCGUGCCAGCAGCCGCGGUAAUACGGAGGGUGCGAGCGUUAAUCGGAAUUACUGGGCGUAAAGCGCGCGUAGGCGGUCUGAUAAGCCGGUUGUGAAAGCCCCGGGCUCAACCUGGGAACGGCAUCCGGAACUGUCAGGCUAGAGUGCAGGAGAGGAAGGUAGAAUUCCCGGUGUAGCGGUGAAAUGCGUAGAGAUCGGGAGGAAUACCAGUGGCGAAGGCGGCCUUCUGGACUGACACUGACGCUGAGGUGCGAAAGCGUGGGUAGCAAACAGGAUUAGAUACCCCAGUGUC
RNAcentral lists this ribosomal RNA (464 nucleotides) under Vreelandella stevensii. Its description in RNAcentral is "partial 16S ribosomal RNA". It matches the Rfam family "Bacterial small subunit ribosomal RNA", at positions 338 to 795 of the family's 1533-position model. The record is from RNAcentral. Lineage: Bacteria; Pseudomonadati; Pseudomonadota; Gammaproteobacteria; Oceanospirillales; Halomonadaceae.